Molecule: ribosomal RNA, 253 nt
Filed under: uncultured bacterium
Lineage: Bacteria
Description: partial 16S ribosomal RNA
Rfam family: Bacterial small subunit ribosomal RNA
Source: RNAcentral
UACAGAGGUCUCAAGCGUUGUUCGGAUUCAUUGGGCGUAAAGGGUGCGUAGGUGGCGCCGUAAGUCAGGUGUGAAAUUUCGGAGCUUAACUCCGAAACUGCAUUUGAUACUGCGGUGCUUGAGGACUGGAGAGGAGACUGGAAUUUACGGUGUAGCAGUGAAAUGCGUAGAGAUCGUAAGGAAGACCAGUGGCGAAGGCGGGUCUCUGGACAGUUCCUGACACUGAGGCGCGACAGCGUGGGGAGCAAACAGG